This 406-nucleotide ribosomal RNA is filed under the name uncultured bacterium. RNAcentral's name for it is "partial 16S ribosomal RNA". It matches the Rfam family "Bacterial small subunit ribosomal RNA", at positions 30 to 526 of the family's 1533-position model. The record is from RNAcentral.
AUUGAACGCUGGCGGUAGGCCUAACACAUGCAAGUCGAGCGAGCGGCGGACGGGUGAGUAAUGCCUAGGAAUCUGCCUGGUAGUGGGGGAUAACGUCCGGAAACGGUAGCUAAUACCGCAUACCAUCAGAUGUGCCCAGAUGGGAUUAGCUAGUAGGUGGGGUAAUGGCUCACCUAGGCGACGAUCCCUAGCUGGUCUGAGAGGAUGACCAGCCACACUGGAACUGAGACACGGUCCAGACUCCUACGGGAGGCAGCAGUGGGGAAUAUUGCACAAUGGGCGCAAGCCUGAUGCAGCCAUGCCGCGUGUGUGAAGAAGGCCUUCGGGUUGUAAAGCACUUUCAGCGAGGAGGCGUUACUCGCAGAAGAAGCACCGGCUAACUCCGUGCCAGCAGCCGCGGUAAUUC